UCCAGCAGCUAUACUACCCUGCAACUCACAACUGGUAACCCACUGAAACUCAGCAUGUGGGAGCCUGGUUAGUACCUGGAUGGGAGACCGACUGGGAAAAACUAUGGUUGCUGCUGGAA
RNAcentral lists this ribosomal RNA (119 nucleotides) under Lepisosteus oculatus (spotted gar). Lineage: Eukaryota; Metazoa; Chordata; Actinopteri; Semionotiformes; Lepisosteidae. The record is from RNAcentral.